This 324-nucleotide unclassified non-coding RNA is filed under the name Hevea brasiliensis (rubber tree). Lineage: Eukaryota; Viridiplantae; Streptophyta; Magnoliopsida; Malpighiales; Euphorbiaceae. The record is from RNAcentral.
GAGAGAGAGAGAGAGAGAGAAACUAUUGUAUUGUGUUUCACUUACACUUCAAUAAUGAGAAGGGAAUCAGAAAGGCAUGCAGAGGACAAUCAGACGACUUAAUCAACAAAUACAAGCAUGUCAGAAAGCCCAUGAAAAUAUAAAGAGAGUCUGAAAGAAGAAUGCACUACAUUGAAGGACAAGGAAAUCGAGGAUGAAAUGGGGCGAAAUGAUAGAUUGAGAAACUAAAGAGAAGAAGAGUAAAAAAGAUUGGAAUUGACAACAAAGCAGAAACCGGAAACUCAUUUAAAUGAUUACAAAUAAUGAUAAAAACAAAAAAUAAAA